Phascolarctos cinereus (koala) is the source of this 1460-nucleotide non-coding RNA. The record is from RefSeq and is a predicted model, not a curated record. NCBI's taxonomy places the organism in Eukaryota, Metazoa, Chordata, Mammalia, Diprotodontia, Phascolarctidae.
AGAUCUGUGUUCUUAUGGCCCUGAAUCCUCAAAGGCUCUUCCUGUGAAGUGCAAACUCCAGAAAAUCCCACCAAGAUGGAAAAAAGUUUAAAGUAGAUUCAGUCAUGGGAUGUUUGUCUGUCAUCUGAGGACCAGGGCUAAUUUGGGAGAUGCUCACUUUCAAAAGAUGGGCACCUGCCUGAUGUGAUUCUUGGCCAUGGCACUCAUGAAGGCUAUCUCCAAAGGCAUGGAAGAGUUGCAAUUUAUAUCCAUGGAGGAAAUGAGGAAACUGAGUGACCAGCCCAUUUGAACGUAGGUCUUCUAGACCCCAGGCUCAGCUUUCUGUCUACUGUGCCACUUUACUGCCAAGAAUUCCCACUACAACAUUCCCAACUCACCUAUCAAGAUGACCACCCUUGCCCUAAUUGCUAUUUUGGAACUGUUGAACAACUUUCAAGACUUUAGGUCCUUUCUUGUGUCUUUGGAGGAUAUUAGUGAAGACUUCAAAAGAAGAGUAGUGUGUGCGUGGAUGAGAAAUGUUCCUCAAAAUGAGUGAGUAAAUUUUCAGUUGACCGCAUGGAAAUUAUUUUCCUAUCAUAUUUCCCAGUUCUGCUCUGCAUUUUUUCUGCAUCCAGCCUAAAAAAAAAAACCUAGAAUGUCCUCAGGACAGUCACUUCCAUUUCCAGUCAGGAAUGACAUCAUCCAUGGGGUAGGGAGGGAAAAAAGAAGUCAUGCUUUCCUUCUUCCAUCAUCUAAGUCAUAGACAAAAAUAUUAAGCAGUAUCGGAUUCAUAAAAUCUCUGCAGAACACCAUUUUGUAGAAUAGCCAAGGUUGUUUCAGAAUCGUGGCCUUGGAGGAUGAGCCUUCAACCAGUUGGUCCUUCUUCUUUUACAUAGUCUAGAUUAAUUUGUUAACUAUGCCUCCAUUAAAGUUCCUUUCUAGUGCCUCGUUAAGCAAUCUGGAGGCCCUUAUAUUCUCAAAAUUAAAGUCACUGAAGCACAACAUCUGGCAGGUCCUAACAAGCUAGAACCAUUUUCACUAUUGGCCCUAUGACUGUUUCCAUAUCUGUGUGUAUUUAUUUUGUAUAUAUUUUAUAUUUCUUUCCCUGCUUUGCAUGUUGUUCUCCUCACUAGAAUGUAAGCUUCUUGAGGGCAGGGACUUUUGUUUUUGUCAUUGUAUCCCCAGCCUUGCUGUGUCUUGCAAAUAAUAGAUGACUAAAACAGACUUUCUGAAUAGAAUUGCUAUUCAAGGAGUAGUCCAGUUAAGUGUAGAAAGACUCUUCACCAGUCUGGAUGGCCACCAGAGGAUGAAAUUUUUAACACCAUCAAUUUCUGAAACCAUCUACUUAGGUAUAGACUAUAUGUGACCUGCAUCAGUGGAAAGGAUAGGUCAUAAGAGAAUUUUAGUAUUGACUUUGUCACUACCAUUUCCUUAGUACAACAAGUCACAUGAUUAUCUAAAACUUGCGGAAUUUAACUGAG